AAGAUGAAGAAGAAGAAGAAGAGAGAGUGACUCUUGUGGAACUACAAGACAAUAAAGGAAGACCCAUUUAUAACAUGCGACAACUCUCAGGCGAAAUUAUCGGAAUAACGCCGGUGAUCUCGCCGGAGAGAUUCUCUUCUUCAUUUAGUAACAGAGAGAGCGAGAGAGAAUCGGUGACCGCGCGUUUUUAUUUUCUCAUUUUAUUGUAAUAAAUAGAAGUGGAGACUUUGGACCGUUGGAUGGUAGAGAAUUAUUUGAUCUAACGGUUGUGUAUAGUUUAGUAAUAGAGACCACUUAAAUUUGACAAAGAGUAAUUGAACUUGACUACGUUACCUUGAUCAUUGAUUUUGAUUUGUACCACUUUGCAUGUCUACACGUUACCCAUUCG
This is a long non-coding RNA of Arabidopsis thaliana (thale cress), 388 nucleotides long. RefSeq annotates it as other RNA. The record is from RefSeq. The transcript has a single exon. NCBI's taxonomy places the organism in Eukaryota, Viridiplantae, Streptophyta, Magnoliopsida, Brassicales, Brassicaceae.